CCUACGGGAGGCAUCAGUGGGGAAUCUUGCGCAAUGGGCGAAAGCCUGACGCAGCCAUGCCGCGUGAAUGAUGAAGGUCUUAGGAUUGUAAAAUUCUUUCACCGGGGACGAUAAUGACGGUACCCGGAGAAGAAGCCCCGGCUAACUUCGUGCCAGCAGCCGCGGUAAUACGAAGGGGGCUAGCGUUGCUCGGAAUUACUGGGCGUAAAGGGAGCGUAGGCGGAUAGUUUAGUCAGAGGUGAAAGCCCAGGGCUCAACCUUGGAAUUGCCUUUGAUACUGGCUAUCUUGAGUACGGAAGAGGUAUGUGGAACUCCGAGUGUAGAGGUGAAAUUCGUAGAUAUUCGGAAGAACACCAGUGGCGAAGGCGACAUACUGGUCCGUUACUGACGCUGAGGCUCGAAAGCGUGGGGAGCAAACAGGAUUAGAUACCCUGGUAGUCCACGCUGUAAACGAUGAGUGCUAGUUGUCGGCAUGCAUGCAUGUCGGUGACGCAGCUAACGCAUUAAGCACUCCGCCUGGGGAUACGGUCGCAAGNUUAAAACUCAAAGGAAUUGACGGCNGAGAGNGCGAGACGACGACGAGGGAGAGG
Molecule: ribosomal RNA, 590 nt
Filed under: uncultured bacterium
Lineage: Bacteria
Description: bacterial SSU rRNA
Rfam family: Bacterial small subunit ribosomal RNA
Source: RNAcentral